CAGGAGGCUGGGGUGGGGGCUGGAUGUGGAGUCCUCCGAGGUCGGGAGGCUGGGCUCCUCCUGUUCGUCCAUAUGCAUUUCUGGCCCCUUCCCCUCCAGCCCUGAGGGAAGCCAUCCCGCAGAGAGGCGGUUCCAGGUGCAGGUGGGCCACCUCCUCGCCCUGCAUGUCCUGUCCCCAGGCUGCUGCUCUGCAUGCUGCUGCUGGGGGCUGCCCUUUCCCUGGCCCACCCUGCCGAGGGGCUCGCUGCCAGGGUCUGGGGAGGCAGGAUCUGGUGCUACAGCUGCCGGGUGUCAAGGGCAGCGGGCUGUCCUGGUAAGCAAGGGCUGACAAAGGGGCUUGCAGCAGCAGGACCAGAGGUUGGUGAGGACGAGGCUGGGACCAGAAUGAACGCUCCUCACGCAUUCGUCUAUCAGAGUCACUGAAUCCCCUUGGCCUGCCCCAGGGCCAGCGCUGGUUGCUGGGGACAGAGAUGUGGACCAGCCCACCUGGGUCCCCUGCCUCCAGGGGGGCAAGCGGGGUAACUAAGACAUGCAUGUGCAAAUCCACAAAAGUGUAACCUCCUCCGAGAAGCCCUCCCUGACCCCCUUCCCUCCUCCCUGACUGAGGUGGCUGUUGCCCCAGUGAAGAGGGAAUCAGACUGCCUAGGUUCAAGCUCUGGCUCCGCCUCUUGCUGGCCGUAGGCCCAGGCGAGUCACUCCACCGCUGAGCCCCAGUUUCCUCAUCUGUAACAGAGGGGUAACAAGAUUACAUAUGUCGUAGACUUAUUGUGAGCGUUAAAGGAAAUCCACAGGAUGGCUCCUGGGAGGGAGGAAUGCUUUCAGCAGCCACAGACCGGCUUUCAGGAGAGGCACAGUGAGCAGAAACGGCUGGCCCGCAUUCUGGAAGAAAAGGUGGAGCUGGAAACAGAAGCCCCCAGGCUGACCCAGUGGGCAGGGAGCGGAUGUGAAGGACUAGGCCACCCAAGUCACCAGGACACAAUAAAUAGCUGCCCCCUCGUAAAGAGUAUAAAGAGUACCAGGUAACCCGAGACCUCUGGGGUAGAAUUUCUGGCAGGAUUCUGCCUCUAUAAAUAGGCCUGCCCUGUUCCCCAGAGAGGCAGGCGGGCAGGAGCUGCAGGGGCGGUGGGUGCCAGGCUGGACAAAGGCCCAGGAGGCUGGGGAGCAGGGGGCAUGGCUCGCUGCGGGCCCCUGGGGACAUCUGAUCCAGGCUGGGGCUGUGUCUGCAUCUGGGUGACCUCAGGGCCAAGUGGCUGUCCGUGAGAAUUCCCAGGUGAGUUUAUUUCUUAAAAGCAUGAAUUAGAGCUGGGGACCAUAGGAGGCAAACGGAGGCAACUUAGAGGGUUCCCACCCUCUGCCAAGAACUUGGGAGCACAUAGGACAUACAAGAUAAGGGCCGUUCUUGGGAGGGCUUUUUUCCUCCCAAAUUAUUUCCCCAAAUAAUUGACUGGGGAAACAGGGGAGAAAGGGAGGCAGAUCAGCCCAGACUUUCCCAGUCUUCCUCCGGCCAAGACCCCUGCCGGGACAGCGCCACCUUGUGUGUUUGCAGGUGGCUAGACGACAAGGGGCCCCAGCGCUUCCCUGGAGGGCUGGCCUGCGCCAUCGUUGGGGGCUCCCCCAGCCACUUGCCCUUCUCCUUCAGGAAUCUCAGGGCUUCCAGGGAUCCCUAACACAGCUCCUCCAGGUCCUGCAGGAUUCAGGUUAAAGGUCUUUGCUGAGAAGCCGCAGAGUGAACUUGAACUUUGCACCAUAUGGAGCGAGGAGGCUGCUGUUGGACUGUCUCCAGGGUCAUCAGAGAUGCUCGGGGUGACCACCUGGUCCAGGCAGGACCGCGGGGCCCAUCGAUAUUCAAGGGGCCGCCUCACCCAGGAAGUUACGCAUCCCCACAGUGGGACAGCCAGUGGUCAGCGACUGACCGACAAAGGAUACAAAAGAUCAGCUGCCAUGGCAAUUGUUCCAGGCUGAUGAUACUGUUCUGCAUCUUGACAGAAGAGCAUUUUGAAGCCCGAUGCCUCCAUAGGGACAUUUGGAGACAGAAAAGCAGGAGUGGAAGAGAAAGCCGAGCGCAGCGGAGGGAUGCUACAUAAAGGCAACGGUGACCAUGGACAGAGGGCUCCCUCCCGUGCCAGGCACGAUCUGUCACCCGGAGCUUCUCACCUAGUUUUGCAAUAACCACAUGGGGUGUGGUGUCACGUCCACUUCACAGCUUUUAAAAUAGAGCGGGGAGAAAGCAAACCAGUGGAGGACAACGACGUUGAGAACGGCCUGCGGAUGGCGGCUGGGCAGCGCCGGGUCUGAAGGUCAGGCUUCCCAACUUGAACAAGCUAAGAAGCCAGUGGGGUCACAUCUGCUCCUUUGUGGCCCAUAUUAUUAAAGCAGGACGAGAUGGGAUGACCACACCAGGUAACACGGUCCAAGUCUCAGGUAGCAGCCAGACGUGCCUGAACUCUCUACCCUGUCCGGCACCUGUGCUCCACUCCUCCAACAGCAAGAAGACACAAGGCUUAAAGCGUCUCAUAGCUCAGAAACCACUUCCCCCACUUUUGUCUUCUUCUUCUUUUUGGUGGUGUCCCUGAGCCCAUCUCUCAGCUCAUGCCCACUCUCUGGCACAGCCUUGGUCUUCUUAUUCUUGUUCUCGUUCUUCUUUUUUUUUUUUUGAUUUUUUUUUUUUUUUUGCUGAGGAAGAUUCUCCCUGAGCUAACAUCUGUGCCCAUCUUCCCCUAUUUUGCAUGUGGGUCACCGACACAGCACAGCCACUGAUGAGUAGUGUAGGUCCAGGCCCAGGAACCGAACCUGGGCUGCCGAAGUGGAGUGCACCAAACUCAGCCAGCAGGCCCCAGGCCCAGCCCCCUCUUCUUCUCCUUCUUAACUGGGGAGCCACUAGAGAGGCCUCCUCACGUUCACCCCCACUCCCUCACUUCCACUUUGGGGCAUUUACUGUUUCAGCAACCACCUCUCUGUCUGCAGAAUCGCUGAGAGAGGAGACGUGGCAGCAGGUCAGGUUCUCUGAGCGGCUCUCCAAGGAGGUACCACCGUCUCCUCAGUUCAUCUGUGCUCUCCGGCAAGUCCAAAGUCACCCUCAGAACACCGAGGCUGGACACAACUCCCCCGUGCGCCUGCGGGGCCACACCUUCUCAAGUCCCAUGAGCCCGAGCAGGAGGGGAUACUGUCUGCUUUGUCCUUUUUGUUGCAAUACAAUCUCACAGUCUCAGGGAAGAUGCAAGAAUUGUGCAAAAAAAGAACUCUCAUGUCCCCUUCCCCAGAUUCUCCCAUCAAUAACAUUUGCUUUCUCUCUCUCUCUAAACACAGAUAAAUAAAGAUGCAAGAUAGAAAGAGAGAGAGAGAGGUUUUUUCCCCUGCGCCGUCAUAGAUUAGGUCGCAGAAACCACACCUCUUCACUAAAUAUCUUUGCUUGAUAUCUCAGAGUAUUUCCUAAGAACAAGGACUUUGUCUUAUGUAAUCACAGCACAAUUUUCAAUAUCUGGAAAUGUAACGUGAACAUGGGACUACUACGGAACUCCCAGUUCACACUUACAUUUUGCCAAUUGUCCCCCCAGGCCGGGCUCAAAUCCAGGACCACGUUUUGCACUUACCUGCCAUGUCACUUUAGUCUCCUUUCACCUGCCUUUCUUUGUCUUUCAUGAUUCUAAGUUUUUUGGUAAGAGAACAGGCAGGUUAUUCAGAAUGUCCCAUAAUCUGCAUUUAUUUUACGGGUCCUCAGAAUUACAUUCGAGUUAUGCAUUUUUGUCAAGGAUACUACAGAAGGGAUGUAUAUUUGUUUCUUGUUGCUGCUGUAACAAAUGACUGCAAACUUACCGGCUUAGAAAAACACGAAUUUCUUAUUUUACAGUUUGGGAGGUCAGCCAUCUGACAUGGGUCUCACCGGUUAAAGUCAAAGUGUGACAGGGCUGCGUUCGUUCUGGAGGCUGUAGGGAGAAUCCAUUUCCUUGUCUUUCGGAGGUGCCCACAUACCUUGGCUGGUGGCCCCUUCCUCCAUCUUCAAAGUCAGCAUUGCAGCAUCUUAGAAUCUCUGACUCUUCUGCUAACCUCUUCUAUCUUUUAAGGAUCCUUCUUUUACAUUGGGCCCACCCAGAUAAUCCAGAAUAAUCUCCCUGUCUGAAGAUCCUUAAUUUAAUCUCAUCCGCAAAGACGUGAGAUAACAUCUUCACAGGUUCUGAGUAUCGGGGUGUGGACGUCUCUGGAGGGUCACUAUUCAUCACGUGAUGUUUGUCAUUCUUAGGGAUCACUUCAGGAGGCCUGUGAUGUCAGUCUGUCCCCGUUAUUGGUGACGGUAACUUUGAUAUUUGGUUCUGGCUGUAUUUGCAGGAUUAAUCCACUGUAAUCUAUUUUUACUUUUGUAAAAGUAUUUUUACUUUUGUAAUUUGUAAUUUUACAGUAAACGUGAGGAAGGAACUUUGAAACUGUGUAAAUAUCCUGUUCCUGGUCUCUACCAGAUCGAGCCUCCACUGAUGGCUCCUGCCUGAAUCGAUUAUUGCUGAGAAUCUUGCAAAAUGAUUCUGCAUUUCCACAUUACUUUCUACAGUUAUUACUUAGCAUUUUAUGUAAGGGAGAGCUUUGUCUCCUCCACUGCUUUAUUCAUUUCUUUCAUUGAUGGACUCAAGGAUUCCUUAUUCCAUGAACAUUCUGUUAUUAACGUUAUUUAUUUUGAUGUUCAAAUUGUCCCAGAUUUAGCCAGUGAAACCCCCUUCAAGCUGACUCCUGCAUGCUUUUAACAAGCCCCUGUCGUUUUUUGAAGACUUCCUUGUUUUCUGGCAUAAGAUGUUA
Molecule: long non-coding RNA, 4782 nt
Organism: Equus asinus (donkey)
Lineage: Eukaryota; Metazoa; Chordata; Mammalia; Perissodactyla; Equidae
Source: Ensembl